RNAcentral lists this ribosomal RNA (475 nucleotides) under uncultured fungus. Its description in RNAcentral is "eukaryotic LSU rRNA". The stretch from base 170 to 323 matches the Rfam family "5.8S ribosomal RNA". The record is from RNAcentral. Lineage: Eukaryota; Fungi.
CAUUAAAGAAUCGCCCCGUUUUUUGAAAUGGGUUCUAUUCCCAAACCGUGUAUACAUACCUUUGUUGCUUUGGCAGGCCGCCUUUUAGGCGUCGGCUCCGGCUGACUGCGCCUGCCAGAGGACCCAAACUCUUUUGUUUAGUGAUGUCUGAGUACUAUAUAAUAGUUAAAACUUUCAACAACGGAUCUCUUGGUUCUGGCAUCGAUGAAGAACGCAGCGAAAUGCGAUAAGUAAUGUGAAUUGCAGAAUUCAGUGAAUCAUCGAAUCUUUGAACGCACAUUGCGCCCCUUGGUAUUCCGAGGGGCAUGCCUGUUCGAGCGUCAUUAUAACCACUCAAGCCUUGGCUUGGUCUUGGGGUUCGCGGUUUCGCGGCCCUUAAAAUCAGUGGCGGUGCCGCUUGGCUCUAAGCGUAGUAAUUCUCUCGCUAUAGGGUCCAGGUGACCACCUGCCAGAACCCCCCCAUUCUUUACGGUUG